UGCGCCGCCGCGUUCCCCCCCGGAAGCGACCCACGGCGGCAGAUCCAACGUCUGGCUCUCCAGGAGAUCGUCCCCGGGGUUCUGUGGUCACCUGUGCAAAACCUUCCCCAUCUGCCCCUGACUGGAGUAGUUCAAAUGCAGACAAUCAUAUUGGUCAGGGAUCAGCCUUGACUUCAGGAAAAGGAAUUGCAACUAGUGAAGGACAAGAUCAUCUGUGACCUGGAAGGGAGGAAAGGCUCCAACAGAAUGGCUUUUGCCUUGAGACAGAGAAAUGAAGGGUUGGGCUCUGAUCAGAGAUGUUUGGCAGAGAUGAUGGUCAGUCCUUCCUCCUGAGAGAGCCUCACUUGCUCUCCCAGCUCCGAGACCUGCGCCUAUGAGAAAACAAGCUGUGCAAACCCUAACUGUGUCAACAAUAGAAGCCCGUCCAGCUGUCGUUGAUCUGCACAGCCAGAGAACUUCCUCCCUGAGGACACUGCUGUCAGAGCUGUGAGAUCAGAGCAGGAGGGUCAGGCCUGGCCUGAGCAGCCAGAUGGGUCCCCCAGCCCCCUGCAACCUCCCCCACAGCGUUGCCCUGGUUUGACCCAAUGGCUGCAUGUCCCCCAAAGUACAGCAGGACCCAGGGAAAGGGUGUGUGGAGCAGCUGUGCAGCAAUGAGGGACAGAGCUGCUUUGGGGAAGGCAGGAGGAUGAUUGCUUCCUCCAGCUCCCAUGGACCUCUGAGCAAAGGGGGCGAUUUCCAGCCCCUCUGAGGGAUUUAUAUUGUGGGACCUGAUAUAUGCUGGAGCCAUUUUGAGAGCAAGAGGUAUCCACCUGGAACCACAAACCCACCCAAAAUUGCAUUGGGGAGGUGUCAAACAGGAGACAAGGGAGAUUCAGGAACGAGCCAUGUGGGUGGGAAGGUUUUCACCCAGCACAGACUCUGCAGGUGGGAACGUGGACAGGGGCACCGGGCUGAGCUGGGUUGCUACCCCUCUGACCAAAACCGUCUGUGCCCCAGGGUGCAGGUGCCAGUGUGAUGGCCCAGGACAUCUGCAGCUCCCCAGGGGAUGGUGAGUACCGGGAUAGGUCCAUAAAUGGAGCUGUGGGUGACUGGAAUUGGGAAGAAAUAGGGGCUUUGUGUAGAUGGCAAAAUUGGGUGAACAAUUUGUCCUGCAUUUUGAGGGCCUUGCCUUGGCAUAGCUAAAGCACAAACAACAAAAGAAGCUGCGUAGCUAACAUGGCUACAGGCUCUGAAGUUAGAACUUCAGAGAAGGCUCCCUGCCAAGGUCAAGGAGGAGUCUUAGAAAGCUAAACAAGUUUUUUCGUCUCUUAUGGACACCUGCGAUGCUCCAAUUAACACCGGACAACAAAGUAUGUUUCUCUUAUGUAUCCAAUGCUGUGUGAAGAAGAAUCACACGUCCAGGUGUAGCAACAGUAUAUAAUAAACGUUCUUCUUCUAAUAAACGGACAUUUUGCCGACCAUAUUGGCCUGUGAGCAGUCUGUUCCGAGCCCCUCCACCAGUAGCUUUGUUCUUUGGGGUUGGUUUGUUUGGUUUUGGUUUGUGACUGUGAACCCCUGAAGAGGAAACUCUUCCCCACCCAGAUCUGAGACAUUUUGCAGCCCUGAAAAAAGUAGAAUUGUACCAGGCCAUCCCUGUGCCAUCUCUCCAGGUGACCUCCCAGCUCCUGCCCUCCAAGAUCACCUCCAAGACUCAGCAGGGAGAGUUCAUCUUUUGUAAGGAGUGGGUGUAGGGAACCGAGAUUAUAUGACCCUGGGAGAAACAUAGAAGGGGAACUUGGCAAGAUGAAUGCGGAUGUGGUGAGAUGUAUCCUUGUGUGUGGGAAAUUAAUUGAGAGUAAUUUUCUCCUAGACAGUGAAUGCUUAACUAAAAAGUAGAUAUAGAGAAAAGUUACUAAAAAGAAUUUACUGCUGAUGUAACGGUAUAUAAACCGUGAAAGAACUGUAAUAAAUGAUUCAAUUAUACCACA
Manacus vitellinus (golden-collared manakin) is the source of this 1967-nucleotide long non-coding RNA. RefSeq lists it as uncharacterized. The record is from RefSeq and is a predicted model, not a curated record. NCBI's taxonomy places the organism in Eukaryota, Metazoa, Chordata, Aves, Passeriformes, Pipridae. The transcript has 3 exons.